GAUGAACGCUGGCGGCGUGCCUAAUACAUGCAAGUCGAGCGAACGGACGAGAAGCUUGCUUCUCUGAUGUUAGCGGCGGACGGGUGAGUAACACGUGGAUAACCUACCUAUAAGACGGGGAUAACUUCGGGAAACCGGAGCUAAUACCGGAUAAUAUUUUGAAGCGCAUGGUUCAAAAGUGAAAGACGGUCUUGCUGUCACUUAUAGAUGGAUCCGCGCUGCAUUAGCUAGUUGGUAAGGUAACGGCUUACCAAGGCAACGAUGCAUAGCCGACCUGAGAGGGUGAUCGGCCACACUGGAACUGAGACACGGUCCAGACUCCUACGGGAGGCAGCAGUAGGGAAUCUUGCGCAAUGGGCGAAAGCCUGACGGAGCAACGCCGCGUGAGUGAUGAAGGUCUUCGGAUCGUAAAACUCUGUUAUUAGGGAAGAACAUAUGUGUAAGUAACUGUGCACAUCUUGACGGUACCUAAUCAGAAAGCCACGGCUAACUACGUG
Molecule: ribosomal RNA, 497 nt
Filed under: uncultured bacterium
Lineage: Bacteria
Description: partial 16S ribosomal RNA
Rfam family: Bacterial small subunit ribosomal RNA
Source: RNAcentral